RNAcentral lists this ribosomal RNA (460 nucleotides) under uncultured bacterium. Its description in RNAcentral is "partial 16S ribosomal RNA". It matches the Rfam family "Bacterial small subunit ribosomal RNA", at positions 338 to 795 of the family's 1533-position model. The record is from RNAcentral.
CCUACGGGAGACAGCAGUGAGGAAUAUUGGACAAUGGGCGCAAGCCUGAACCAGCGAAGUAGCGUGAAGGAUGACUGCUCUACGGGUUGUAAGCUUCUUUUAUAAAGGAAUAAAGUGCGGCACGUGUGCCUUUUUGUAUGUACAUUAUGAAUAAGGAUGGGCUAACUCCGUGCCAGCAGCCGCGGUAAUCCGGAGGAUCCGAGCGUUAUCCGGAUUUAUUGGGUUUAACGGGAGCGUAGAGGGGUUGUUAAGUCUGUUGUGAAAGUUUGCGGCUCAACCGUAAAAUUGCAAUUGAAACUGGCCGUCUGGAGUACAGGUGAGGUAGGCGGAAUUCGUGGUGUAGCGGUGAAAUGCUUAGAUAUCACGAAGAACUCCGAUGGCGAAGGCAGCUUACUAAACUGCCACUGACAUUGAGGCUCGAAAGUGUGGGUAUCAAACAGGAUUAGAUACCCUAGUAGUC